This is a long non-coding RNA of Betta splendens (Siamese fighting fish), 4928 nucleotides long. RefSeq lists it as uncharacterized. NCBI's taxonomy places the organism in Eukaryota, Metazoa, Chordata, Actinopteri, Anabantiformes, Osphronemidae. The transcript has 3 exons. The record is from RefSeq and is a predicted model, not a curated record.
CAAGUCAGAUAGCAGGUUCUCCGCAGCUGACAGGAACAGAACCCAGAGACGCUCUGACAGUUGUUGAUCGUCCGCACCUGUGGUGGGAGGUUCAGAGUCUGACAGGAGACACAGGAGACGGCAGGAUAGACCUGCACACAGAUCCUGUAUGCAAGUGCCCUUAUUCCCUCCAACUCGUUCCGGAGGAAAGCGCCAUCCGCUGAGCUGCCGAGUAAAGCUGCCAGCUGGUGGAAACAGGACAUGACGUGACUGAGAGCCUCCUGGGCCCGCUCACAAUCCCACUGGUUCCGACGCAAAGCUGUCAGCCCAUCUACUGAACGACGCCACCGACUCAUGAUGUGGUCAAAGGCAUGAGUCAGUAGUGGCACUGGACCACACCACAUGACACGCCUUGCCACAGCAGCACAGGUGAGGCAUUCAGGUUUUUUGCGUCUUUUAAUCUUAUAUUUAGGGCCAGUUAAAUUUUAACAAUUAAAUGCAUUAAGUCAUUUUUUCUAACUUGUUCAAAUUAGUUCUUUGCUUGUAUUAGAAUUGUGAUUGACAGAAUGAAUAACAUGAUGAAUUAACUUAAACUUUAUGAUGUUUACCAACAGAACACAUUAAUGCAUUUUAAAACAGACAAUCCUAUGAUGUAUUUAUAGAUUUAAAAUGACAAAUUAAAGAGUACAUUUACUACUAAAUUUCGUACACACGGAAAAAUGUCUUAAUUUCCUUGAGGCUUUAAAUGGUUAGAAAGGUGUUUGCAGAAAAUCAAAGUUGUUGUCCUACCUGCUGCUGCUGAUUCUUGAACUGCGUAGCACCUGGCAGGUUUCAGUAAACACUCAAUAAGCAUUUUUCUUCUCACGAGAGACUGUCAGUGUUUUUAAUUAGUGCUCAGAGGCCAGCUGAGCCUGAAUUCUCCCAGGAUUGUCAGAUUACCCUCAGCUCUCACCUCAGCGCACGGUUCACCACCAACCGCUUCACGUUUCAAACAGAUUUUCCCCACUCAGCGACACACCCACUCUGAUCAUUGGCGACUCCGUAGUCCGAAACGUGAAGUUAGAGAAUGCAGCGGUUAUAGUUAAGUGUUUGCCAGGGGCCAGAGCGGGCGACAUUGAGUCUUAUCUUAAGAAUAUAUAAGAAUACAUAAGAAUGUAUAAGAAUAAGUACGCUAAGAUCGUAUUACACGCAGGAGCUAAUGACGCCCGAUUACGCCAAUCAGAAGUCACUAAAACUUACACUGAGUCGGUGUGUUCGUUCGCCAAAACAAUGUCGGACUACGUAGUUUUCUCCUCAAUGUGACUAGCAAAAAUGACGAAGUAAUAUGUGUUGUGGCUGAUAAUUACCUCUGUUGCGAGUCAGCUUCCAUGUCGCUAGAGGCCACUCCGACUCGCCUUGUAUUAGUGUUCUCUUGGUUGAUUCUUUGUAGUGAUGGGUAGAUGAGGCGUCAUGAAACGUUUCGAUACAUUGCAAAACUGUAUUGAUACUGUGCCGAUACUGUGUCACUGAAUACUGACACCUGCUGGACAUUAAAACUCCCUACAGGCAACCUAGUUGACGGACUCAUCUGACACUGAUUUUGUGACCUAAUAUAUACAAUAAUAUAAUUUAAGCCAUUGUAUGUUAUAUAGUAUUAUUUCAUAUCUUCAUUUACAUUUAAAAUUUAUAUUUUUAGAUACAGUCGAUAAAGUGUAUCAUAACGUAAAAAUCUAAGUGAACAUGUUGUGAAUGAAGAUGCCUUUUUUUUUGUUUUUUUUUUAACAAAUUUGGUCUCUCUGCCCACUGCAAUGAGGAGAUCUUGCCAAAGGUUAUCUAGAAACAACACACUGCCAUUUUAGUACACCAUUUCCAAACAACAAGAAACAAAUAAUGCUGAAUAACAUGCCUAAAGAGGGUGCAGACAGCUGCUGUUCUGACUGCAGUCUACUGACGGCCUCAUUGCACUUGGAGGAACUGCGGAGUGAUUUAAAUCUGGGGUCUAGAAGUGUUGCUGGGGUCAACACACUGUGAGGUGGUUUUGCUUAAAUAGGAAAGUUCUGUCUAACAAAUACGAAAUUUAACCUGCAUAAAACAAUAUGAUUAGUAAAGAGUCACUUUGGAAAUUAAUCUGAAUUCAGAUAGAUCAAGUAAAAACUUUUUAAAAUGAAUUAAUUAUUUUAAUAAUACACUUUCACUUUAUUAUAAAAUUAAAUCAAAAAAGAAACAUUAUUUUCCGAUAUGAGAUGAAUUAUAGAUGAAUUUGACGAUGAACGGCAAACGCUCAGGGAUUCCAUUCGGCAGAUGCAUCCCGACACAUGCGCUUCCUUAUAAACACAGUCUGGCGCGUCAGACAGUGACUGAUACAGGAACUGUAUCGGUCACGUGCUUUCCCGACGCGAUACGCGCACCGACACAGUGUUUCGCUCUAAGAGCUCGACGCAGGCGCAGACGCAUCGGUGUUGCCGGACCCAUCACUAAUUCUUUGUCUUUUCAUUUCCUGCUAGGUCAUUUCCUGUUAUUAGUUUGAUUAGUGUCGCCUGGGUUAGUUAGUAUUUAGGCUCUCAGUUUAUGCACAGUCUUUGUUGGUUUAUUGUACGUGUGGUAGUGAUAGGUAGAUGAGGCGUCAUGAAGCGUUUCGACACAUUGCAAAACUGUAUUGAUACUGUGUCAAUGAAUACUGACACCUGCUGGACCUUAAAAAUCCCUACAGGCAACCUAGUUGACAGACUCACCUGACACUGAUUUGAUGACCGAACAUAUACAAUAAUAUAAUUUAAGCCAAUGUUCAUGUUAUAUAGUAUUGUUUCAUAUUUUCAUUUCAAUUUAAAAUUGAUAUUUUUAGAUACAGUCGAUAAAAUGAACAUUGUAUCAUAACGUGAAAAUCUAAGUGAACAUGUGAAUGGGAUUCCAAAAACUUUAUUAAUCCCAAAGGGAAAUGAUUUUACACACUUUGAUUGCUGUCACAGUUGAAGGGACAGACAAGGAUGUAGGGAGAUUAAAAAUAUUAAUAAGUAGAAAGCUUUUUUUUUAUUGCUCAUUAUCACAUACAAUGUAACAACAAAGUUGGUCUUCUGCAUUUAACCCAUCCCCUGGGGGAGCAGUGGGCUGCAAUUCAAGGCAAUCCAAAUUCAGAAAUCAAGUGGAAACUUGAACAGGAAAAUUAAGAGAUACCUUAUUUUCCGACAUGAGAUCAAAAUGGUCGCACACGGCGGAAAGCUUUUUUUUUAGCUUGAGGCUGCUCCAUAAUUAUAGAUCAAUUUGACGAUGAAUGGCAAAUGCUCAGGGAUUCCCUUUGGCAGAUGCAGCCCGACACGUGCGCUUUCUUAAAAAUAGUUUGGUGCGUCAGUGACUUUUACAACAUGAUACACGCACCGACAUGGGGUGAGCUCGAAGCAUGUGCCGACGCUUCAGUGUUGCCGGACCCAUCACUAGUGUUCAGGUUUGUCUGUUUGAGUGUUUUGUUUUUGUCUUUACUUACAUGUUUACUUUAGUUCUUUUUGGUUUAGCUCGCCUGCUCAUGCAGUGAUCCUUAGUCAGGGGUAUUUUGGUUAUUGGUUUAAAUGGGCAGUUAUUACCUACCCUGUCUAUGCAGCGUUCUUAGUUUGUGUCUAUCUGUGUUUGCUAAUUUAAUGGUUUUAUAAUUUAAGUGUGUCAGUGGAUUUUGGCGAUUGGGUCCUCAUCUCUCAUCGGGUCAGGUUUUGCACUGCAUCUAAAACCCAAGGUUGUAGGAGAACAAACCAACCAUAUGGAGGCGACGAUUGGGAAUAUUCAGUGCGACAUCACACCUGCUGUUGCCCUCACCUUAUCUGCACCGGCUACUGGCCUGGUUUCGUCUUUGGCUCCGGUUCCAGUUCCACGCAUGGUUUCGUCUUUGGCUCCGGUUCCAGUUCCACGCAUGGUUUCGUCUUUGGCUCCGGUUCCAGUUCCACGCAUGGUUUCGUCUUUGGCUCUGGUUCCAGUUCCACGCAUGGUUUCGUCUUUGGCUCUGGUUCCAGUUCCACGCAUGGUUUCGUCCUUGGCUCCGGUUCUGGCUACUCGUCUGGUUUCGUCUCUGGUUCCGGUUCCACGUCUGGUUUCAUCUGGUUUCUACUCACCUACAAAGUACUCAAUGAUAAAGCUCCUUCUUAUCUUAAAGACUUCAUAGUUCCUUAUGCUCCCAGCAGAACGCUUCGUUCUCAGAGCGCUGGGCUACUUGUGGUUCCUAGAGUCUUUAAAUGUGGAACGGGAGGCAGAGCUUUUAACUCCAAGCUCCUCUCCUGUGGUACCAGGUCCCUGUUCAGGUUUGAGAAGCUGACACACUCUCCACCUUUAAAAUCAGGCUUAAAACCUUCCUUUUUGAUAAAACUUAUAGUUAGAGAUGGUUCAUGUUACUGGCAAUUAUUGUUAGUCACAGGAACCAUCUCUUAGUUAAGCUGCAAUAGACAUAGACUGCUGGGGGACUUAAUUUAUACACUGAGCUCCUCUGUUUCCUUCUACCUCUUGUCUUGUCUGUCCAAUAACCUUCCAUCAUUGUUUUAUGUUAAACUAACCUUGUCUCUUUCUCUCCAGUAGUUGUGCUUCUUCCCCCCCCCCCUCUCUCCUCCACUCUGUCCUCACCUACAGGUAUCAUUGGACUCAAAGUUUGGUGUCUGUGAUGGGCAGCUGUGGAUCCAACCAUCCUGCCUGCAUCCAGUCCCUGGUCCAACCAUCCUGCCUGUGCUCUGUUGUUGUUGCUGUGCUUUUCUCUCUAUCCUCUCACCCCAACCGGUUGAGGCAGAUGGCCGCCCACAUCCAGCCUGGUUCUGCUGGAGGUUUCUUCCUCGUUAGAGAGGGAGUUUUUCCUCUCCACUGUUGCUGUCAAAUUAAAUGCUUGCUGUAUGUGGGAUUGGUUGGGUUUAGUUGUGUGAGGUCUUAAACCUUACUUUGUAAAGUGCCUUGAGAUAACUUUGUUGUGAUUUGGCGCUAUAUAAAUAAAAUUGAAUUGAAUUGAA